GGAAGGAUGAGAAGCUUCGACUAAGGUUCGAUUCGAGCGAAAGCGAGAAAGCGUUGCCAACGGCAACGACCCGAAGGGCGAAGCGCGCAGCGCUGAGUAAUCCUUCCCCCACCACCA
RNAcentral lists this small RNA (117 nucleotides) under Salmonella enterica. RNAcentral describes it as "partial RtT sRNA". It matches the Rfam family "RtT RNA", at positions 16 to 130 of the family's 130-position model. From Rfam's summary of the family: This family represents a bacterial cis-regulatory element known as RtT RNA. The exact function of RtT is unknown although it is thought that it may be involved in changing the cellular response in relation to amino acid starvation. The record is from RNAcentral. Lineage: Bacteria; Pseudomonadati; Pseudomonadota; Gammaproteobacteria; Enterobacterales; Enterobacteriaceae.